AGAGACUGUGGACGGAAUAGGGACACAACAGGGAGAGCAAGCGAUACCGGAGUUCUUCUGGGACCAACAAGUGGUAAAUGAGCUGGACAAGCUGGUUGAACAAGGCGUGUUGACCCAGGAUGACCUCUUGGCUUUCCCGUUGCAACAGUCACAGCAGGGCCACCUGAGGAAGCGGCGUGAGAGAAAGAUGAGGUCGUGGGUGGAUUCCCUGAGGCAAUUCGCUUAAGGCAACAUGGACAUGUAGACUUUCACAGACUGGCAUAAACUCACACUCAUAUAAACAGAUUUACAGUCACAAUAGACACACAGGCAUGGGAACAUGAAUGGACACAAACAUACUCUCACAUCCAGAUGUAUGACACACACACACACACAUAUAUGCACACAAUACUAAUGCACACUUACAAAUAUAAUUACAUAAUUUUCCAAAAUUUAGUUAUUUGUUUCGGUGUAAUAUUUUCCAAAUUUUGCGAAAAGAUUAAUGUCACUUUGCUGUUUACAUAUGGAAUAUUUCAUAAAAUAUUCUAUAUGGGAAUCCUGAUCUUGUUAUGGAGGUUAAUAAAAAUAAUCUUUUGUGAUCA
RNAcentral lists this long non-coding RNA (581 nucleotides) under Penaeus japonicus. RNAcentral describes it as "uncharacterized LOC122250287". The record is from RNAcentral. Lineage: Eukaryota; Metazoa; Arthropoda; Malacostraca; Decapoda; Penaeidae.